This 267-nucleotide ribosomal RNA is filed under the name uncultured Syntrophaceae bacterium. Its description in RNAcentral is "partial 16S ribosomal RNA". It matches the Rfam family "Bacterial small subunit ribosomal RNA", at positions 1111 to 1382 of the family's 1533-position model. Lineage: Bacteria; Pseudomonadati; Thermodesulfobacteriota; Syntrophia; Syntrophales; Syntrophaceae. The record is from RNAcentral.
UUAAUUGCCAUCAUUAUUGGGCACUUAAAGAGACUGCCGGUGUUAAGCCGGAGGAAGGUGGGGAUGACGUCAAGUCCUCAUGGCCUUUAUGCCCAGGGCUACACACGUGCUACAAUGGGCGGUACAAAGAGAAGCAACCUCGCGAGGGUGAGCAAAUCUCAAAAAGCCGUUCUCAGUUCGGAUUGAAGUCUGCAACUCGACUUCAUGAAGUCGGAAUCGCUAGUAAUCGCGGAUCAGCAUGCCGCGGUGAAUACGUUCCCGGGCCUU